UCUAAGGGUUUAAGAGGUUAAGAAAAAGAUGGUUAGAUCUAGUGGGUGGUUCAGAGAGGUUCAAACUCAGGUCUGAUGGAAGGUAUGAUCGAUUGGUGGCUAGUCGAGUUCUAGGGGCUAGAACUCUUGAAGUAAGGUGAAGGAGGAGCGUUGUCUUUGGUUCAAUUUUUAUAUGGAUGACUAUUGGAGGGUAGACACUUAGAUACCUUAUAGAAAUUAGAUUAGCGCUAUAGGUAUUCUUCUGAUCCAAACUUAUUUUAACUGUACUUUGAUUGAUAUAG
Molecule: long non-coding RNA, 281 nt
Filed under: Elaeis guineensis (African oil palm)
Lineage: Eukaryota; Viridiplantae; Streptophyta; Magnoliopsida; Arecales; Arecaceae
Description: long non-coding RNA (EGUI_LNC042843)
Source: RNAcentral